Molecule: ribosomal RNA, 408 nt
Filed under: uncultured bacterium
Lineage: Bacteria
Description: partial 16S ribosomal RNA
Rfam family: Bacterial small subunit ribosomal RNA
Source: RNAcentral
GACGAACGCUGGCGGCGUGCCUAACACAUGCAAGUCGAACGAAGUGGCGAACGGGUGAGUAACGCGUAAUCAACCUGCCCUUCAGAGGGGGACAACAGUUGGAAACGACUGCUAAUCCCGCAUACUGAAGGAGGGGAUUGCGUUUGAUUAGCUCGCUGGAGGGGUAACGGCCCACCAAGGCGAUGAUCAGUAGCCGGUCUGGGAGGAGGAACGGCCACAAUGGGACUGAGACACGGCCCAGGCUCCUACGGGAGGCAGCAGUGGGGGAUCUUCCGCAAUGGACGAAAGUCUGACGGAACAACGCCGCGUGAGUGGUGACGGCCUUCGGGUUGUAAAGCUCUGUUAAUCGGGGCGCGGUACCGGAAUAGAAAGCCACGGCUAACUACGUGCCAGCAGCCGCGGUAAUUC